Scylla paramamosain (green mud crab) is the source of this 708-nucleotide long non-coding RNA. RefSeq lists it as uncharacterized. The record is from RefSeq and is a predicted model, not a curated record. The transcript is spliced from 4 exons. Lineage: Eukaryota; Metazoa; Arthropoda; Malacostraca; Decapoda; Portunidae.
UCAUGUCCAGAUCGUACAACCCCCCCUGAUGCAAAAAAUGUUUGCGCGCCUGGCGUUGUUAACACACACGACACACUCUUCCCUUGAGGAAAGAUAGUCGCCUUCACGAGUGUCUUACUAUUUCAUUGCAGAGCCCCUCCUCUUGAUGACGACACGUGCACUGUCAGCUACACUUUGCAGUGUCUCACUUAAAUUUUCCCCAAUAUCUUUGUAUCUCCAUUUCAGAUGAAUUGUUCUCUUUCCAAGGGUUGAGGAGAACAUGGUCGUGCUUCAAGUGAAGCCACUACAGCCACUGCCUGACAAGUCUUCCACACUGACAGUGGCAGCAGACACACACGAGAGGAUGGUGUGGUGGACAAGAGGAUGCAGGGAGACGGCAGACAGAAUGGAAGCUACAGAUGAAAGAAGAGCAGGUCAAGCCAUGGCAGCAGACAGACACACAGACAGACAGAUUGGAUCAGAAAGAAGUAUUAUUUAGUGAGACAGGCCCACUGGAAGCUGUCAGUCUGCUGCGGCACGUGGCAAGAACCAAGUGUUGAGGAGCACACGUUGUCCCUUCACCAGUCAGCAGGUCUGGGCGGCUCGGAAGUCUCACUACAAACUGGAGACCCGUUCUCUUGGACACAGUUGGAGUCGGACACAAGAUUCAAGAGGGAGUCAUUUUAACGAGAGCUUCAGGCAAAAAAUUCGAGUGGAUUUUCAUUUCUA